This 857-nucleotide long non-coding RNA is filed under the name Struthio camelus australis. RNAcentral describes it as "lncRNA (ENSSCUG00000018094.1)". The record is from RNAcentral. Lineage: Eukaryota; Metazoa; Chordata; Aves; Struthioniformes; Struthionidae.
GUGUCCCCCCCCCUUCCAAGUCCCUUAAUUAAUUUGAGGGCAGUAUCACAGCUAUGCCCGUGUAUUUAUAGCGGGAUACUGAGGGCGAGUGCUGCGUGCGUUAGGGCUUGGGGUAAGGGACGCCGGAGGGUGUCAGGCCUGCUGCGAUGUCACUGGGGGACCCCGAAGGACGGCGGGAAGACAAACCUGGUCCUUCCUGGGAAUGGUCCCCAGUGCUGGCUGUAGCCUAACCGCUGCCAGGGGCCGAGCUAACAGCUAAGCAGAACGGAUGAGCAGUGUUUUCCAACUAACCUCUUGGCUUUGUUUUGUUUAGUGGGGCAGAUGUAGCUGUUGUUGUGCGUGUUGGAGUGUUUAAUUUGCUAUAACAUAAUUUUGCUUUUUUGACAGGGCAAUAUGUUGCGGUAUAUCUGAAGUGUGAGAAGUACCAAUCGAGCACAGACUGACACGUUUUAAAAUAUCAGUGUUUGCCAGAGCUUCCUCACCAAAUGCUCAUAAAGUCAGACAGCAGUAGCGGGCCCAGCAUGCCAAGGGAAGGAAGAGCAAGCACACCCUUCAAGAAUCUGCUUUUCUGGAGUGUGAAGCUCACGCCCGUUAAUAUUGCCUGGAGUGCUGGGUGUUGUGGAUUCCCAUCGCUUCUGAAAAUUUUAACACCGUACACCCAUUUCAAACACUCCCAACAGCAUAAAUUAGACUACUCAUCUACUGUGAAACCCACAGUACUUACUAGGUUCAAACCUCAGUCUUGGCCCCAGCUGUGUAAAGCAGACAGCAAGCUGCCCGAAAGGAGCAGCCAAGAUUUCCCUCAAGGAAAUCUUUCUUUUUGCCCUUUCACACAAGGGCAAAUUUCCAUUUCAUAA